UACAGAGGUCUCAAGCGUUGUUCGGAUUCAUUGGGCGUAAAGGGUGCGUAGGUGGCGUCGUAAGUCGGGUGUGAAAUCUCGGGGCUUAACUCCGAAACUGCAUUCGAUACUGCGGUGCUUGAGGACUGGAGAGGAGACUGGAAUUUACGGUGUAGCAGUGAAAUGCGUAGAGAUCGUAAGGAAGACCAGUGGCGAAGGCGGGUCUCUGGACAGUUCCUGACACUGAGGCACGAAGGCCAGGGGAGCAAACAGG
RNAcentral lists this ribosomal RNA (253 nucleotides) under uncultured bacterium. RNAcentral describes it as "partial 16S ribosomal RNA". It matches the Rfam family "Bacterial small subunit ribosomal RNA", at positions 524 to 776 of the family's 1533-position model. The record is from RNAcentral.